Molecule: long non-coding RNA, 1292 nt
Filed under: Androctonus crassicauda
Lineage: Eukaryota; Metazoa; Arthropoda; Arachnida; Scorpiones; Buthidae
Source: RNAcentral
UUUUUUUUUAAAUUUAGUGAAAAUAUUUAUUUCCUACAAAAAUUAGAAUAUGUAAAACAAGACAAAAAGAGUAUGUGAAAAUGAAAUGGUCAAAAUGUCUCAAUAUGGAGUAUAGUUAUUCCUCACAGCAAUGUUGAACCUGUAGCAAUGUUUCAUGCUGUUGAUGAUGAUAUUUAUCAAUUCAGUUGUAGCAAUGGUCAUUGUUCCUGCAAAGCAUUUCUAAGUUCCCUGAGGUCUUAGGACAGGAGUUGAGGGCAAAUAUAUAUCUCACUAGAAUCCAAGAUAAUAAUAAUAUAAUUAAAGUCAGGAGACCUGGCCUCUCCAUUUAUAUGGUGGUUUGAUCUUGAUGAUGAUGAUUAUAUCAGAUUGUUUAAUCUUCUGGACAUUAUUGUCCUGUAGAUUAAAGGAAUCUACAAUUGUGUCUGCAUAUGGACAGACAGUGAGAUCUGACUUCAUCCUUAUACUUUCUGGCAUUCAUGUUUUUUCUAGGAAGGUGUUUUCCAGAGGAAAGGUUAUCAGCCACCUAACAAAAUGCUACUCCAAAUCAGCAGGCUACUUCCAUCAUAAAUUUCUCUUUCUUGAAGGAAAUUAGCAUGUCCUGAUCAGCAUGAAAUUGCAUAGUAGAGUAAAUCUAGAUUCAUUGCUAGAAAGUAUAGACUUCCAUUGAAUUUCACUCCAGCUAACACAAUGUCUUGCCCAUUUCAAACAUUCCCUUCUGUGAGGAAUAUAUGGGACAUGCAGACUGCUUGUUGCAUAGCGCAUAAAAGUUCUUCCUGAAGCCUUCUGUGCACAAUAGAGAGCACAUGCCAGCAUUUCUAUAAUUUCAGCAAGGGAAGAUUGCAGGUGUGUUGGUGUAGCAUUCUUUUCCUUCAAGCCAAUAACUGAAUAUAUUAAUUAUCCAUUAUGCUAGUAACUAUAGGUCUUCCACCACUAUCUCUGUUUGAGAGUUUUGAAAUUGACUCCAUAGCUUGUGAAACAUAAUAUGAUUAACAUUAACCAUUUGGCUAAUUCUCCCUGACUUUGACCUUCCUUUAGCCUCCCAAUAAUUUUCAUCUCAAUUCAUUAAUUAAAUGAUAUUUACUAGCUAUAUUCUAAAAUCAGAAUAAGCAUCAAGCUAUCUGGAUUUUCCUCUUUCACAUUUCAAACUUGAAUUAGUGAGCAGCUUUCACAUUGUGACUUUCAUGGUGCAACAGAUUUGCAUAUAUCAAGGACUGCAGAAACAAUUUGCAUACUUUAUUCUUAUUCAGCAUUGCACUUUAUAUAAUCUUCAUUAAUUUUGUACCUAUCCAGCC